UACGGAGGGUGCAAGCGUUGCUCGGAAUUAUUGGGCGUAAAGCGCACGCAGGCGGCGAGGUAAGUCAGUUGUGAAAUUCCCGGGCUUAACUUGGGAACUGCAGCUGAUACUGCUUUGCUUGAGUACGGAAGAGGGGAGCGGAAUUCCCAGUGUAGAGGUGAAAUUCGUAGAUAUUAGGAAGAACACCAGUGGCGAAGGCGGCUCACUGGUCCGGUACUGACGCUGAGGUGCGAAAGCGUGGGGAGCAAACAGG
RNAcentral lists this ribosomal RNA (253 nucleotides) under uncultured bacterium. Its description in RNAcentral is "partial 16S ribosomal RNA". It matches the Rfam family "Bacterial small subunit ribosomal RNA", at positions 524 to 776 of the family's 1533-position model. The record is from RNAcentral.